GUCUGCGAAUGAGGAGAUAUAUGAAAUAUACAGUUAUCCCUGGCUGAUUUUCUGUGCUGAUAUUUCUUUGAAAUCUGACGCAAAA
Non-coding RNA from Corchorus olitorius, 85 nucleotides. NCBI's taxonomy places the organism in Eukaryota, Viridiplantae, Streptophyta, Magnoliopsida, Malvales, Malvaceae. The record is from Rfam.